CAACUGCUGACUGAUUUUCUGGGCUUCUUGGCUGAUGGUGGUGACUCUGAAGAAAGAAGCUGGGUUUAUCUCUGGGUCUUGGGAUAAUCAAGUUGGAAGUGGCCUGGCUGAUUUGAAGGUAGAAGGUAGAAGGUUGAAGACAGGAAACUGCCUUAUACUUCUCUUAUGUCCACCAAAUCACCUAACCCUGUGCUGGAUAUGUGCAUAAAGCCUUUCAGCUUCCCCUCCCCCUUUACCUCCAACCUUCUUCUAAAUCACUCAGGGUGGACUAUGAUGCUUUAGAGAAAAUACUCUUUUCUCUUCUUCAACUCAAGUAUGGGUUCAUUGGGGAAUACAGGACAAGGAUGGAGGAUAAGUGAUGAGUUGACCUUGGACAGCCACUUUGCCUUUUGCAUUUUAUUUCUGCUCUACAAAAUAAGGAGAAUUCUACCCAUACCAUAUAACUGUUGUGAGAAUAAAAUGAGAUAUAGCCUGGGUAACCUGUUUGACUUGGUGUGUUUCCUAUUCCAUAUAUUAACAUUUAGUAGACUAGAAUUUUUUACAGGGAGCUGAACUUGAUCUUUUGUCCCCUGAGAUCUACCUUGAACCUCCCUGGCAUUAAUGAUGACAUAUGUAGAAUGAUUUGUAAGUUUAAAAUACUACACAAAUGUAAAUAAUGAUCAUAUGAAAAAGUAUUAUUCUAGACUAUGCAUCAUGCAAAUAAAAUUAGGAAAUUGUUCA
RNAcentral lists this long non-coding RNA (720 nucleotides) under Monodelphis domestica (gray short-tailed opossum). RNAcentral's name for it is "lncRNA (ENSMODG00000033009.2)". Lineage: Eukaryota; Metazoa; Chordata; Mammalia; Didelphimorphia; Didelphidae. The record is from RNAcentral.